GACGAACGCUGGCGGCGUGCUUAACACAUGCAAGUCGAACGGGUCUGCCCUGUUUUUUGCGGGGUGGGUCAGUGGCGAACGGGUGAGUAACACGUGAGUAACCUGCCCCUCACUUCUGGAUAACCGCUUGAAAGGGUGGCUAAUACGGGGUGUUCUGGCUGUGCCGCAUGGUGUGGCUGGGAAAGAUUCACUUUUGUGGUGUUUUGGUGGGGGAUGGGCUCGCGGCCUAUCAGCUUGUUGGUGGGGUGAUGGCCUGCCAAGGCUUUGACUGGUAGCCGGCCUGAGAGGGUGGGCGGUCACACUGGGACUGAGAUACGGCCCAGACUCCUGCGGGAGGCAGCAGUGGGGGGUAUUGCACAAUGGGCGGAAGCCUGAUGCAGCGACGUCGCGUGAGGGAUGGAGGCCUUCGGGUUGUGAACCUCUUUCGCCGGUGAAGAAGGUCCUGCUCUUUGUGGUGGGGUUGACGGUAGCCGGGUUAUGAAGCGCCGGCUAACUACGUG
This 500-nucleotide ribosomal RNA is filed under the name uncultured bacterium. Its description in RNAcentral is "partial 16S ribosomal RNA". It matches the Rfam family "Bacterial small subunit ribosomal RNA", at positions 28 to 507 of the family's 1533-position model. The record is from RNAcentral.